UGGGGAAUAUUGCACAAUGGGCGCAAGCCUGAUGCAGCCAUGCCGCGUGUGUGAAGAAGGCCUUCGGGUUGUAAAGCACUUUCAGCGAGGAGGAAGGUGGUGGACUUAAUACGUUCAUCAAUUGACGUUACUCGCAGAAGAAGCACCGGCUAACUCCGUGCCAGCAGCCGCGGUAAUACGGAGGGUGCAAGCGUUAAUCGGAAUUACUGGGCGUAAAGCGCACGCAGGCGGUUUGUUAAGUCAGAUGUGAAAUCCCCGGGCUCAACCUGGGAACUGCAUUUGAAACUGGCAAGCUAGAGUCUCGUAGAGGGGGGUAGAAUUCCAGGUGUAGCGGUGAAAUGCGUAGAGAUCUGGAGGAAUACCGGUGGCGAAGGCGGCCCCCUGGACGAAGACUGACGCUCAGGUGCGAAAGCGUGGGGCAGCAAACAGGAUUAGAUACCCCUGGUAGUCCACGCUGUAAACGAUGUCGAUUUUGGAGGUUGUGCCCUUGAGGCGUGGCUUCCGGAGCUAACGCGUUAAUCGACCGCCUGGGGAGUACGGCCGCAAGGUU
RNAcentral lists this ribosomal RNA (550 nucleotides) under uncultured bacterium. RNAcentral's name for it is "partial 16S ribosomal RNA". It matches the Rfam family "Bacterial small subunit ribosomal RNA", at positions 355 to 895 of the family's 1533-position model. The record is from RNAcentral.